AUGGCGCUGACCGCCUUCGGCAUCGGUGAGUGCCUCGCGCCCAAUAGCUGGCGCGUCGGCGCCGCCGCCGAGCGUGAUAUCACAGUGGGCGUGCCUUUGUCAGCAUGCCGGUUCGGGCUCGGCAAGGCCACGAUCGACUCGUUGCCCACGUUCGCGUACGCAUCCCGUGACGCCGAUGGCUAUGCCGACCUCGAAUGCGGGAGCGCCCAGCUGUGCUCUGUGUGCUUGGAAGACCUUGAGGACGGCGAGAUGGUGCGGCAGCUGCCGUCGUGCAAGCACAUCUUCCAUGUCGAGUGUGUCGACAUGUGGUUGCACUCGCACACCACUUGUCCUAUCUGCCGCUGCGACCUCUCGCCACAGCGGCCAUGCUCUGCCAAAGUGGCAGCGGUAGAGACCGAACCGCCGGCUGUGCUGCCGCCUGUGUAG
This 426-nucleotide ribosomal RNA is filed under the name Triticum aestivum (bread wheat). RNAcentral describes it as "partial small subunit ribosomal RNA". The record is from RNAcentral. Lineage: Eukaryota; Viridiplantae; Streptophyta; Magnoliopsida; Poales; Poaceae.